This 324-nucleotide ribosomal RNA is filed under the name uncultured bacterium. RNAcentral's name for it is "bacterial SSU rRNA". It matches the Rfam family "Bacterial small subunit ribosomal RNA", at positions 28 to 351 of the family's 1533-position model. The record is from RNAcentral.
GAUGAACGCUGGCGGCGUGCUUAACACAUGCAAGUCGAACGAUUAAAGCCCCUUCGGGGUGGUAUAGAGUGGCGAACGGGUGAGUAACACGUGGGCAAUCUGCCCCUCACUUCGGGAUAACUCAGGGAAACUUGAGCUAAUACCGGAUACUCCGAACUGAUCGCAUGGUCGGUUCGGGAAAGCUCCGACGGUGAGGGAUGAGCCCGCGGCCCAUUAGCUUGUUGGUGAGGUAACGGCCCACCAAGGCAACGAUGGGUAGCCGCGCUGAGAGGCGGAUCGGCCACACUGGGACUGAGACACGGCCCAGACUCCUACGGGAGGCUG